This 1639-nucleotide long non-coding RNA is filed under the name Paramuricea clavata. Lineage: Eukaryota; Metazoa; Cnidaria; Anthozoa; Malacalcyonacea; Plexauridae. The record is from RNAcentral.
AGCAAACAGUGAAAGAUAAGAGUCAAAUUGUAUUUUACCUUUUCUCGUUAAUUGUAAUUUAUUAUAAAUGAAUGAAAAGGCUAACACAUACAAUAAGAAUUACGAUUUGCUAGUCGACGUGGUCCACUUUCAAUCUCAUGCGUUUAAGGAUAAUUUGUUGCAUUUACUUGUACGUAUACAACUACUGAAUUUUCUGAUCAUUGUGAGGAAAUGUUUUCAACAUCGAGCAGCUUGGUCUUGGCAAAAGACGAAAGUAUACACAAACCGUAUGAAUGUCAUCUCUGCAAGAGAAGGUUCUCCCAAAAAGGUAACUUAGCAACGCAUAAAAUAACGCAUACUGCAGAUAAACCUUUUGAAUGUGAUGUUUGCAACAAGAGAUUUUCUCAGUCAAGUGAUUUGAAAAGACAUAACAGAACCCACACUGGGAGCAAACCUUAUAAAUGUGAUGUUUGUUACAAGACAUUUUCCGUAUUAGUCACCUUAAAAACACAUAAAAGAGUACACACUGGAGACAAACCUUAUGAAUGUGAUGUUUGCAAGAAGAAAUUUUCCCUAUUAGGAAACUUAAAAAGACAUAAAAGAAAUAUUCACACUGGAGACAAGUCUUUUGAAUGCGAUGUUUGCAAGAAGAAAUUUUCACAGUCAAGUGAUUUGGGAAGGCAUCAAAGAACCCACACUGGGAGCCAACCUUAUGAAUGUGAUGUUUGCAACAAGAGAUUUUCCCAUUUAAGCAACUUAAAAACUCAUAUAAGAAUACACACUGGAAACAAACCUUUUGAAUGUGAUAUUUGCAACAAGAGAUUUUCCCUUUUAAGUUACUUAAAAACACAUAAAAUAACACACACUCUAGACAAACCGUAUGUAUGUGAUAUUUGCGGUAGGACAUUUCCCCAAAUAACCAACCUAAAAAGACAUAAAAGGCUACACACUGGAGACAGACCUCAUGAAUGUAAUAUUUGCAAAAAGACUUUUAUACAACGAACUCAUCUUGAACGCCACAAGAAGGCACACUUACUGUGCAAAUCUUGUCAUAGAGAAAUUAAUCAAUCUCAAGACUUACAGGAACAUUUCUUCAAGGACGACGUCACCGGAAAACAUAAUUGUCGAAGAUGCAAGAAACAAUUCAUUAACUUUGCCAAAUUAGUACAACAUAUUGCAAGGCAACAUGGAAAUGAUACAAAACAUCAAUGUGUUUUAUGCCGAGAAUUAGAAUCUAUAAAACCAACUGGUAUUGGGUAUAUUUGUUUCAUGUGUGACACUGAGUUUGAUUUUCUAAACAAACUUGAGUGUCAUAUGGUUACUCAUCAUAUGUCAAAAUGUGACUAGAUGGCACUGCCCAAUUGUUUAUUUGAUGUUAUUAAAGUCCAUAUUAAUGACAUUAUUUUGGGAAUCUAUGCCUGUUUAUUAGUACAAAAGUGGGAAGCAUAAAAUCAUAUACAGCUGCAAGAAAGAUAUUUAAGAAACAGCAAUUUAUAGCAGGUAAGAAGGCUGCAUUGUAUUGAAACUACUUAUCAGGUUACUACCUUAAUACCCACUUAUGCUCAAGAGCACCAACUACGAGAACAGCAACAGUAGCUUUUAUUUAUACCCAGGGGUGGAAAAAUUUUUUUUCUUUCUGGGAACCUGGGUCGAAGGCUAG